GACGAACGUUGGCGGCGUGCUUAACACAUGCAAGUCGAACGGAAAGGCCCUGCUUUUGUGGGGUGCUCGAGUGGCGAACGGGUGAGUAACACGUGAGUAACCUGCCCUUGACUUUGGGAUAACUUCAGGAAACUGGGGCUAAUACCGGAUAGGAGCUCCUGCUGCAUGGUGGGGGUUGGAAAGUUUCGGCGGUUGGGGAUGGACUCGCGGCUUAUCAGCUUGUUGGUGGGGUAGUGGCUUACCAAGGCUUUGACGGGUAGCCGGCCUGAGAGGGUGACCGGCCACAUUGGGACUGAGAUACGGCCCAGACUCCUACGGGAGGCAGCAGUGGGGAAUAUUGCACAAUGGGCGGAAGCCUGAUGCAGCAACGCCGCGUGCGGGAUGACGGCCUUCGGGUUGUAAACCGCUUUCGCCUGUGACGAAGCGUGAGUGACGGUAAUGGGUAAAGAAGCACCGGCUAACUACGUGCCAGCAGCCGCGGUGAUACGUAGGGUGCGAGCGUUGUCCGGAUUUAUUGGGCGUAAAGGGCUCGUAGGUGGUUGAUCGCGUCGGAAGUGUAAUCUUGGGGCUUAACCCUGAGCGUGCUUUCGAUACGGGUUGACUUGAGGAUUGUAGGGGAGAAUGGAAUUCCUGGUGGAGCGGUGGAAUGCGCAGAUAUCAGGAGGAACACCAGUGGCGAAGGCGGUUCUCUGGGCCUUUCCUGACGCUGAGGAGCGAAAGCGUGGGGAGCGAACAGGCUUAGAUACCCUGGUAGUCCACGCUGUAAACGGUGGGUACUAGGUGUGGGGUCCAUUCCACGGGUUCCGUGCCGUAGCUAACGCUUUAAGUACCCCGCCUGGGGAGUACGGCCGCAAGGCUAAAACUCAAAGGAAUUGACGGGGCCCCGCACAAGCGGCGGAGCAUGCGGAUUAAUUCGAUGCAACGCGUAGAACCUUACCUGGGUUUGACAUGGAUCGGGAGUGCUCAGAGAUGGGUGUGCCUCUUUUGGGGUCGGUUCACAGGUGGUGCAUGGCUGUCGUCAGCUCGUGUCGUGAGAUGUUGGGUUAAGUCCCGCAACGAGCGCAACCCUUGUUCACUGUUGCCAGCACGUUAUGGUGGGGACUCAGUGGAGACCGCCGGGGUCAACUCGGAGGAAGGUGGGGAUGACGUCAAGUCAUCAUGCCCCUUAUGUCCAGGGCUUCACGCAUGCUACAAUGGCUGGUACAGAGAGUGGCGAGCCUGCGAGGGUGAGCGAAUCUCGGAAAGCCGGUCUCAGUUCGGAUUGGGGUCUGCAACUCGACCUCAUGAAGUCGGAGUCGCUAGUAAUCGCAGAUCAGCAACGCUGCGGUGAAUACGUUCCCGGGGCU
Molecule: ribosomal RNA, 1346 nt
Filed under: uncultured bacterium
Lineage: Bacteria
Description: partial 16S ribosomal RNA
Rfam family: Bacterial small subunit ribosomal RNA
Source: RNAcentral